GUGCCAGCAGCCGCGGUAAUAACGUAGGGCGCAAGCGUUGUCCGGAAUUAUUGGGCGUAAAGAGCUCGUAGGCGGUUUGUCGCGUCUGCUGUGAAAGCCCGGGGCUCAACCCCGGGUCUGCAGUGGGUACGGGCAGACUAGAGUGCAGUAGGGGAGACUGGAAUUCCUGGUGUAGCGGUGAAAUGCGCAGAUAUCAGGAGGAACACCGAUGGCGAAGGCAGGUCUCUGGGCUGUUACUGACGCUGAGGAGCGAAAGCAUGGGGAGCGAACAGGAUUAGAUACCCUGGUAGUCC
This 293-nucleotide ribosomal RNA is filed under the name uncultured microorganism. RNAcentral describes it as "partial 16S ribosomal RNA". It matches the Rfam family "Bacterial small subunit ribosomal RNA", at positions 505 to 796 of the family's 1533-position model. The record is from RNAcentral.